This 756-nucleotide small RNA is filed under the name Pan troglodytes (chimpanzee). RNAcentral describes it as "retained intron". The record is from RNAcentral. Lineage: Eukaryota; Metazoa; Chordata; Mammalia; Primates; Hominidae.
AUGACACCCUCUGUGAAAGUGGAAAAGAUUCAUCCGAAAAUGGAUGGCACACUACUGAAAUCUGCGGUGGGGCCAACCUGUCCUGCUACUGUGAGUUCCUUAGUCAAGCCUGGCCUUAACUGCCCCUCAAUACCAAAGCCAACCUUGCCUUCACCUGGACAGAUUCUGAAUGGCAAAGGGCUUCCUGCACCGCCCACUCUGGAAAAGAAACCUGAAGACAAUUCCAAUAAUAGGAAAUUUUUAAAUAAAAGAUUAUCAGAAAGAGAGUUUGAUCCUGACAUCCACUGUGGGGUUAUUGAUCUCGACACCAAGAAGCCCUGCACCCGGUCUUUGACAUGCAAGACACAUUCCUUAACCCAGCGCAGGGCUGUCCAGGGUAGAAGAAAACGAUUUGAUGUGUUAUUAGCCGAGCACAAAAACAAAACCAGGGAAAAGGAAUUGAUUCGCCAUCCGGACUCUCAGCAACCACCGCAGCCUCUCAGGGACCCGCAUCCCGCCCCUCCUAGAACGUCACAGGAGCCGCACCAAAACCCUCACGGAGUGAUUCCUUCCGAAUCAAAGCCUUUUGUAGCUAGUAAACCUAAACCUCACACCCCCAGUCUUCCAAGGUAAGCCAAGCCCUCCAACUCUUUCUCCCACCUUCAGAGAUGAGACUUGCAGAUACUGUAAAAUUUCAGUAUGGUCAUGAUGUUGAGAAACAUAUCUCAGGCUCACUGUGGAGAUAGUUUUUUAAGGAGUUUUACUAUGAAAAAAAAA